GCGCCCCUAGCUCAGUUGGUUAGAGCAUCUGACUUUUAAUCAGAGGGUCCCCGGUUCGAGCCCGGGGGGGCGUACCA
This 77-nucleotide transfer RNA is filed under the name Brevundimonas diminuta. RNAcentral describes it as "tRNA-Lys". It matches the Rfam family "tRNA". Rfam says of the family: Transfer RNA (tRNA) molecules are approximately 80 nucleotides in length. Their secondary structure includes four short double-helical elements and three loops (D, anti-codon, and T loops). The record is from RNAcentral. RNAcentral also lists the same sequence under 10 other names. Lineage: Bacteria; Pseudomonadati; Pseudomonadota; Alphaproteobacteria; Caulobacterales; Caulobacteraceae.